Podarcis muralis (Common wall lizard) is the source of this 786-nucleotide non-coding RNA. Lineage: Eukaryota; Metazoa; Chordata; Lepidosauria; Squamata; Lacertidae. The record is from RefSeq and is a predicted model, not a curated record.
AGGCGGGGAAUUAGCCGGGGGGGUGUGGAGUGCGGAAGAGAAAGCCAGUGGUGGUGGUGGUGGUGGACGUCGUGGGGUCGCCACGUGGGGUGGGUGUGUUUCCCCCACAACAAGAGUUGGCGGCUCUAUGCUGGGCGCACGACGUCGUCGUCGUUGUUGUUUCCCUCUCCCACCUUAGAGAUUCCCCCCCCCGCGAUGGUUUCCUCCUCCCCUCAGCCCGCCCUCCUCCUCAUUCCCCCCGCAACCGCGAGAGGGUUAACAGCGCGGCAGACCUUCAAGACUCCGAGGCAAGGGAGCGCGAGCUCCUGUUUGGCAGCAAGAGGCUGUGCGCAUGCGCGCGGGAUUCGUGAGGUGCCGCUGUAGCCGCCAGUUCGGUUUGGCUGAACCGGCGUCAGGCGCAGCGCGCGGCAGCUGAGGCGGCCGGUGGCGGGGAGAAGAAGGGGGCCCUCGCCCGGUUAGCUGGAGGUGAGAGGCCGGGCAGAGCUGUAGGGGAGGCUAUAGGGGAGGCAGCCCCACCCCUACUUAAAAUCUGCUCCAGAUGGUUCCCCAACCCUCCCAAGGAGAUUUGGUAGAUGUGCAAGAGGCGGCAGGGAGGAGGAGAGGAACCUGAAGUCCUGUUAUGCAAGUAGAAGUUCAUUCUGGGCACAAUUGCAUAUCUUCAUUUUUAUAUAGCUUGCUUUUCUGUAAACCACUUUGAUAGCCUUUUUGGCUAAAGGAAGGAGUAUAAAUGCCCAAUGUAUUCAUUCAUGCAUAUAUUAAUAAAAUUCAACAAAAUUGUUGAGCUUA